CUGCCACAGGAGUUAAAGCCGCGUCCCCCGUGCCCUUUGGCGGCGGCCAAGAGUCCCCCGCCGGAGCUGAUGGGGUUUCUAAUUUCUAGUCGCAGGGCGUCUGGCUGCACUUCGCAGCAGGCCGGCUGGCAGCAGCCCGUGGUACUCGGCGGCCUGGGCCUGGGGCUCCGGGCUCCUGGGAACCGGCCGGGCGGGGCGGAGGGGGCGCGGAGCACGCGCUCUCCCCUUCCGACCCAGCCGGCAGUGGCAGCCCCUGCCAGAAGAUGGCCUAUUGAACAUUUCCAGGAAUAGCACUGCCAAGCCUGUCAACUGCUUUCUUGGAAAUUCACUCAAUCAGGAUGGCGGGCCUCCAGCCGGGAGAGCACAAAGCCCGGCCUGGAGCUCGGAGCUCCGAACGGGCAACGCCCGGCUGCGGGCCGGCCGCCCCGAACCCCUGAGGAAGGGGAGCUGUGCUCGCUGGCCUCUGCAACCCCGCAGCUUCUGGAGUCGUCCGCAGCCUUUCUCCUUCUCAGUGGCGAGGGGAGCGGUCACACGUCUCUGCCAGCCUCCUGCGACUCGGUGACCUUCACAUGCUCGCUGUAGGCCUGACAUUCCUACUGAAGUUUGACAAUCCACCCCCAACCCGAACUCUCUGACCUACAGCCUUUUCCAACUUUUGGGGUGUCCCAGCGGCUGGCAGGGCUGGGGGAUGCCCCAAGAAAGUCAGCUGCCCUGAGAGGAACAGCUUGAAAAUGAAAGGGUGCCUAGAUGCCUGGAGAGUGCUGACCGCAUCCUUUGUGAGACCCAGCGCAGAAUGAAAAUACAGGCCCCUUGUUUCAAAAGUAGGAAAGAAAGGACAAAGUAGACCUAGAGAGCCUACAGACCAAAGAAGAAAAGACCAGCGAACCUGUUCUACACAAAGGCAAAUAGAACUCUUCAAAUCCAAGAUAUCCAUCUUCACUUUGGAACAUGAUGGACCCAGAGCUUGCAACACACAUAUUCCAAGGAUAAGCUGGUACAAACUCUUUUACAUGUGUUGCUUUAAAAAGAAAGAGAAGGAGAAAAAAGAGGAGAUGGAGAAAGAGAAGAGCAAAAAGUUAAAAGAAAAAAGCUUCAUGUUUCAAAAAUCUAUUACUGAAGAGGACCAAGGGAGCUGCUUGCUCUUAAAAUCCCAGUGAGGUGAUUCUGAGUCCUCUUCCACUAGCUGCCUCAGCCCCCACUCAACCCAAGAUGGAAGCAUAACACACGUUGUCAAGUGAGCACCCAGUAGGUGCUAGAAGGACGCACACGAAGAUGUGGGAAAACACAGCAAGGAUGCCAGCGGGUCCCACAGAGGAGUUGUGCUCCAGUGCACGCCACAUGCUUCAUGGGCAUAAGCCAAACCAGCACCCAGAAGGGGGGCCAUGAGGAGAAAUGUGUUUCUCAGGAAGGUUAUGGGCUGAAGUGUGUCCCCAGAAUCAUAUGUUGAAGCCCUAAACCCCAGUCCCUCAGAGUGUGACUGUAUUAUUAGAUUGGACCUUCAGAGAGCAACUCCUGGGCCUGCUCUUUAUCCCACACAGAAAGAACACACAUUCUCAGCAACGGUCAAAGCACCUUUCACUUUCUCCCACAGCAGCAACCCAUCUGAACACAUCUGAACAGCCUUUCCCUAAGGGAUGGGUUCCCAUGCCAAGCCAAAGACCUAAGGAGUUUGGGCCCUUGGUAGCUACCCACUGUUUUGGUUUGCGCUAAGCGAUAUGGUCCUCCCUGGGGGACCCCAAAGCACCACACCCAUGGAGUCUGAGAAAGGCAUGUGGUCCAAGCUCUGUCUCUAUCUUUGUCUGUCCUCUGCCUUGAGCCCCCGGUGUGAACCCUCCAGGUGUGCCAUGUACUCGCUUCAGGACCUGUGAGUCAGAAACCUGUUUCGGUUUCUCUUGCAGCUUACCUUCUCCACCCUGGGCUCCACUGAACAAAGUCAGAGCAUACAGACGGCCCCAAUCUGAGGGACAUCCUCCUACAUAACUACCCUUGAACUGUUCAAAAGACAUCAGGGGUCAUGGAAGAUAGCUAAGAAGCUAUCCCAGACUGAAGGAGACAAGAUACAACCCAUGGUAACCUGGUUCUGGACUGGAUUGUCUCGCCAUAAAGGACAUGAUUGGGACAAUUGGCACAACUCAGCUGAGGCUGAGGACUAGACUGCGGCAGUACAGCAGUGUUUCUUUCCUGACUUGGAUGGAAGCCGACCCACGAUUACACAGAACAAUGUUCUUGAUUGAAGGAAUCCCAUACGGAAGUAUUCAGGGACGAUGUGCCAUCAGACUGGUGAUUUUCUACCAAAUCUUUAGGAAAAAAGUGCAAAUCACACGGUACAAACAGUUUAUGACCUCACAAACUUAAGAAUGUCCUUCUACAUCAUUUUUAAAGGUUAACUACCUGUCUCCAGCAACCAUGAACUGUUUCUGGACAGCCCCCGUGGGGGAGCCAGCUUCUGUACCAGGAGGCCUGAAGCCCCAGCGUUGUACGCUGCCCUCCUUGAGGAAAGAGGAGGGAACCAACCGGGUGCUCCAUCCACUGUGUCACCUUUCAUGCUGGCGACAAGGGGGCAAAGCAGAUGCAGCACUGAGACAAGGACAGCCUCAGCUCUAGGAUUGCUGCGCGGAGGGGGGAGGGUUUCCCGCUCGGGCUGUGGAGUCCGUGAGCCCAGCUCAGGUUGCGUCACUCGCACGCUCACUGUGUGACACCUUGAGCAAUUUAUUUAACUUCUCUGAGGCUUAGUUUCCUUCUCUCCAAAAGGAAAGGGGUGACAAGAACGCUGGUGUGAAGUGUUGGGAAGACUGGAUUAAAUGACAUAUAUCAAGA
This is a long non-coding RNA of Mustela lutreola (European mink), 2817 nucleotides long. RefSeq lists it as uncharacterized. NCBI's taxonomy places the organism in Eukaryota, Metazoa, Chordata, Mammalia, Carnivora, Mustelidae. The transcript is spliced from 9 exons. The record is from RefSeq and is a predicted model, not a curated record.